Molecule: ribosomal RNA, 460 nt
Filed under: uncultured bacterium
Lineage: Bacteria
Description: partial 16S ribosomal RNA
Rfam family: Bacterial small subunit ribosomal RNA
Source: RNAcentral
CCUACGGGCGGCAGCAGUGAGGAAUAUUGGUCAAUGGGCGCGAGCCUGAACCAGCCAAGUAGCGUGAAGGAUGACUGCCCUACGGGUUGUAACCUUCUUUUAUAAAGGACUAAAGUGAGGCACGUUUGCCUUUCUGUAUGUACUUUAUGAUUAAGGAUCGGCUAACUCCGUGCCAGCAGCCGCGGUAUUACGGAGGAUCCGAGCGUUAUCCGGAUUUAUGGGUUUUAAGGGGAGCGUAGAUGGGUUGUUAAGUCAGUUGUGAAAGUUUGCGGCUCAAGGGUAAAAUUGCCAUUGAUACUGGCAGCCUUGAGUACAGUUGAGGUAGGAGGAAUGCGUGGUGUAGCGGUGAAAUGCUUAGAUAUCACGAAGAACUCCGAUUGCGAAGGCAGCCUACUAAACUGCCACUGACAGUGAUGCUCGAAAGUGUGGGUAUCAAACAGGAUUAGAUACCCUAGUAGUC